GUCUACAGCCAUGCCAUCCUGAACAAGCCCGAUGUCUGAUCUCAGAAGUUAAGCAGGGUCAGGUCGGGUUAGUAGUUGGAUGGGAGACCACCUAGGAAGACCAGGUGCUGUAGGCA
Molecule: ribosomal RNA, 116 nt
Filed under: Pteropus alecto (black flying fox)
Lineage: Eukaryota; Metazoa; Chordata; Mammalia; Chiroptera; Pteropodidae
Source: RNAcentral